This 429-nucleotide ribosomal RNA is filed under the name uncultured bacterium. RNAcentral describes it as "bacterial SSU rRNA". It matches the Rfam family "Bacterial small subunit ribosomal RNA", at positions 375 to 793 of the family's 1533-position model. The record is from RNAcentral.
GCGAAGCCUGAUGCAGCCAUGCCGCGUGUAUGAAGUAAGGCCUUCGGGUUGUAAAGUACUUUCAGCAGUGAGGAAGGUGGGUAUGGUUAAUAGCAUAUUCAUUUGACGUUAGCUGCAGAAGAAGCACCGGCUAACUCCGUGCCAGCAGCCGCGGUAAUACGGAGGGUGCGAGCGUUAAUCGGAAUUACUGGGCGUAAAGCGCAUGCAGGUGGUUUGUUAAGUCAGAUGUGAAAGCCCCGGGGCUCAACCUCGGAAUUGCAUUUGAAACUGGCAAACUAGAGUACUGUAGAGGGGGGUAGAAUUUCAGGUGUAGCGGUGAAAUGCGUAGAGAUCUGAAGGAAUACCGGUGGCGAAGGCGGCCCCCCUGGACAGAUACUGACACUCAGAUGCGAAAGCGUGGGGAGCAAACAGGAUUAGAUACCCUGGUAG